This 640-nucleotide unclassified non-coding RNA is filed under the name Hevea brasiliensis (rubber tree). The record is from RNAcentral. Lineage: Eukaryota; Viridiplantae; Streptophyta; Magnoliopsida; Malpighiales; Euphorbiaceae.
GCGGCCACCGUGUGGGUUUUCAGGGUUGGGCGAGUCUACCGCGCCCUCGAGCAUCCAGGCCUGGCGCCGCUUGUUGUGAACAAGCCGCGGGUAGUAGUCGCCUUUGUACAGAUACUCGAGAACGCAGGAGAAGAUUUCGGGUUCUUCCGAUGGCAGAUCGAUGCGUCGGGAGUUGGAUUCGAAGAACUGGCCCCGCAACGCCGUCGCAAAGAACGGCGAGUGGCACAGUACGUCUUCGUGCGCGGCGAACAGUCGUUGGUCAGGGCCAACCACGAUAGUGACCGGGGAACCACUCUCCAUCAUCGGACUGUCCAUCCGGCUGUCCAUCUUCUCGAUCAUCUGCUUCUGCUUGGUUGUCUCUCGGAACGAUCUCUUCGGCUGUUUUGUUAUCUUGCCCGAGCGGUCUUUUGGGCUUGCAAAAGAGCGUUUGAACAUGUUGGACGAAGAGAGUGAUCGUAACGAGCGACGGAAGGCUGAGAAAAGAGCGUGAGGGUUAGUUUGACGCAGCUUGCAUUCGUGGGAGCACUGGAAGCUCUCAAAACCAGCAAUUUCGGAUUGGAAAGUGCUGAGAUCGAGAAGCUUUGCGUGAAUCAACCUGUGGAAGAUUCAGGCGCAGGUUUUGUCUGGCUCUGGCUUGUCG